RNAcentral lists this transfer RNA (74 nucleotides) under Acidimicrobiia bacterium. RNAcentral's name for it is "tRNA-Pro". It matches the Rfam family "tRNA". From Rfam's summary of the family: Transfer RNA (tRNA) molecules are approximately 80 nucleotides in length. The record is from RNAcentral. Lineage: Bacteria; Bacillati; Actinomycetota; Acidimicrobiia.
CGGGCUGUGGCGCAGCUUGGUAGCGCACUUGGUUUGGGACCAAGGGGUCGUCGGUUCGAAUCCGACCAGCCCGA